This 458-nucleotide ribosomal RNA is filed under the name uncultured bacterium. Its description in RNAcentral is "partial 16S ribosomal RNA". It matches the Rfam family "Bacterial small subunit ribosomal RNA", at positions 338 to 795 of the family's 1533-position model. The record is from RNAcentral.
CCUACGGGUGGCAGCAGUGAGGAAUAUUGGUCAAUGGGCGAGAGCCUGAACCAGCCAAGUCGCGUGAGGGAGUACUGCCCUAUGGGUUGUAAACCUCUUUUGUCGGGGAGCAAAAGCCGGACGUGUCCGGCUGUGAGAGUACCCGAAGAAAAAGCAUCGGCUAACUCCGUGCCAGCAGCCGCGGUAAUACGGAGGAUUCGAGCGUUAUCCGGAUUUAUUGGGUUUAAAGGGCGCGCAGGCGGAUUUUUAAGUCAGCGGUAAAAUCGUGGGGCUCAACCCCAUCCAGCCGUUGAAACUGGGGAUCUAGAGUGUGCGAGAGGUAUGCGGAAUGCGUGGUGUAGCGGUGAAAUGCAUAGAUAUCACGCAGAACCCCGAUUGCGAAGGCAGCAUACCGGUGCACAACUGACGCUCAGGCACGAAAGCGUGGGUAUCGAACAGGAUUAGAUACCCUAGUAGUC